This 1133-nucleotide ribosomal RNA is filed under the name Klebsiella pneumoniae. RNAcentral's name for it is "bacterial SSU rRNA". It matches the Rfam family "Bacterial small subunit ribosomal RNA", at positions 1 to 1125 of the family's 1533-position model. The record is from RNAcentral. Lineage: Bacteria; Pseudomonadati; Pseudomonadota; Gammaproteobacteria; Enterobacterales; Enterobacteriaceae.
AAAUUGAAGAGUUUGAUCAUGGCUCAGAUUGAACGCUGGCGGCAGGCCUAACACAUGCAAGUCGAGCGGUAGCACAGAGAGCUUGCUCUCGGGUGACGAGCGGCGGACGGGUGAGUAAUGUCUGGGAAACUGCCUGAUGGAGGGGGAUAACUACUGGAAACGGUAGCUAAUACCGCAUAAUGUCGCAAGACCAAAGUGGGGGACCUUCGGGCCUCAUGCCAUCAGAUGUGCCCAGAUGGGAUUAGCUAGUAGGUGGGGUAACGGCUCACCUAGGCGACGAUCCCUAGCUGGUCUGAGAGGAUGACCAGCCACACUGGAACUGAGACACGGUCCAGACUCCUACGGGAGGCAGCAGUGGGGAAUAUUGCACAAUGGGCGCAAGCCUGAUGCAGCCAUGCCGCGUGUGUGAAGAAGGCCUUCGGGUUGUAAAGCACUUUCAGCGGGGAGGAAGGCGGUGAGGUUAAUAACCUCACCGAUUGACGUUACCCGCAGAAGAAGCACCGGCUAACUCCGUGCCAGCAGCCGCGGUAAUACGGAGGGUGCAAGCGUUAAUCGGAAUUACUGGGCGUAAAGCGCACGCAGGCGGUCUGUCAAGUCGGAUGUGAAAUCCCCGGGCUCAACCUGGGAACUGCAUUCGAAACUGGCAGGCUAGAGUCUUGUAGAGGGGGGUAGAAUUCCAGGUGUAGCGGUGAAAUGCGUAGAGAUCUGGAGGAAUACCGGUGGCGAAGGCGGCCCCCUGGACAAAGACUGACGCUCAGGUGCGAAAGCGUGGGGAGCAAACAGGAUUAGAUACCCUGGUAGUCCACGCCGUAAACGAUGUCGAUUUGGAGGUUGUGCCCUUGAGGCGUGGCUUCCGGAGCUAACGCGUUAAAUCGACCGCCUGGGGAGUACGGCCGCAAGGUUAAAACUCAAAUGAAUUGACGGGGGCCCGCACAAGCGGUGGAGCAUGUGGUUUAAUUCGAUGCAACGCGAAGAACCUUACCUGGUCUUGACAUCCACAGAACUUUCCAGAGAUGGAUUGGUGCCUUCGGGAACUGUGAGACAGGUGCUGCAUGGCUGUCGUCAGCUCGUGUUGUGAAAUGUUGGGUUAAGUCCCGCAACGAGCGCAACCCUUAUCCUUUGUUGCCAGCGGU